GACGAACGCUGGCGGCGUGCCUAAUACAUGCAAGUCGAACGCUUCUUUCCUCCCGAGUGCUUGCACUCAAUUGGAAAGAGGAGUGGCGGACGGGUGAGUAACACGUGGGUAACCUACCCAUCAGAGGGGGAUAACACUUGGAAACGAUAGCUAAUACCGCAUAACAGUGUUUAACACAUGUUAGAUGCUUGAAAGAUGCAAUUGCAUCACUAGUAGAUGGACCUGCGUUGUAUUAGCUAGUUGGUGGGGUAACGGCCCACCAAGGCGACGAUACAUAGCCGACCUGAGAGGGUGAUCGGCCACACUGGGACUGAGACACGGCCCAG
This 326-nucleotide ribosomal RNA is filed under the name uncultured bacterium. Its description in RNAcentral is "bacterial SSU rRNA". It matches the Rfam family "Bacterial small subunit ribosomal RNA", at positions 28 to 334 of the family's 1533-position model. The record is from RNAcentral.